Molecule: ribosomal RNA, 205 nt
Filed under: uncultured bacterium
Lineage: Bacteria
Description: partial 16S ribosomal RNA
Rfam family: Bacterial small subunit ribosomal RNA
Source: RNAcentral
UACAGAGGUCUCAAGCGUUGUUCGGAUUCAUUGGGCGUAAAGGGUGCGUAGGCGGCCAACUAAGUCGGACGUGAAAUCCCUCGGCUUAACCGGGGAACUGCGUCCGAUACUGGAUGGCUUGAGUUCGGGAGAGGGAUGCGGAAUUCCAGGUGUAGCGGUGAAAUGCGUAGAUAUCGUGAGGAACACCGGUGGCGAAGGCGGCUAC